This 609-nucleotide ribosomal RNA is filed under the name uncultured bacterium. RNAcentral describes it as "bacterial SSU rRNA". The stretch from base 1 to 516 matches the Rfam family "Bacterial small subunit ribosomal RNA", at positions 338 to 873 of the family's 1533-position model. The record is from RNAcentral.
CCUACGGGAGGCAGCAGUGGGGAAUCUUGCGCAAUGGGCGAAAGCCUGACGCAGCCAUGCCGCGUGAAUGAUGAAGGUCUUAGGAUUGUAAAAUUCUUUCACCGAGGACGAUAAUGACGGUACUCGGAGAAGAAGCCCCGGCUAACUUCGUGCCAGCAGCCGCGGUAAUACGAAGGGGGCUAGCGUUGCUCGGAAUUACUGGGCGUAAAGGGAGCGUAGGCGGAUAGUUUAGUCAGAGGUGAAAGCCCAGGGCUCAACCUUGGAAUUGCCUUUGAUACUGGCUAUCUUGAGUACGGAAGAGGUAUGUGGAACUCCGAGUGUAGAGGUGAAAUUCGUAGAUAUUCGGAAGAACACCAGUGGCGAAGGCGACAUACUGGUCCGUUACUGACGCUGAGGCUCGAAAGCGUGGGGAGCAAACAGGAUUAGAUACCCUGGUAGUCCACGCUGUAAACGAUGAGUGCUAGUUGUCGGCAUGCAUGCAUGUCGGUGACGCNGCUACGCAUAAGACACUCCGCCGUCGGGAGGUACGGUCGCGAAGAAUUAAAACUAACGAAAGGAAGUUAGACGGCGUGAGACGUCGACCGAACGGACGACCGACGAGGGAGGAGG